This 122-nucleotide small nucleolar RNA is filed under the name Peromyscus maniculatus bairdii (prairie deer mouse). Its description in RNAcentral is "Small nucleolar RNA SNORA40 (ENSPEMG00000004767.2)". It matches the Rfam family "Small nucleolar RNA SNORA40". From Rfam's summary of the family: The snoRNA ACA 40 belongs to the H/ACA family of snoRNAs and guides the pseudouridylation of 28S rRNA subunit at position U4565. The record is from RNAcentral. Lineage: Eukaryota; Metazoa; Chordata; Mammalia; Rodentia; Cricetidae.
GGCGUGUGUGUGUUCUGUUCAACUGGUAGACAAAGGCAAGAAAGACAGAUGCAAAGAUUAAUCCUCUUUUACAACCCAGAGCUUAUUGUUCAGUAUGAGUUUUUAUGCACAUGAGGACUAUA